RNAcentral lists this ribosomal RNA (253 nucleotides) under uncultured bacterium. RNAcentral's name for it is "partial 16S ribosomal RNA". It matches the Rfam family "Bacterial small subunit ribosomal RNA", at positions 524 to 776 of the family's 1533-position model. The record is from RNAcentral.
UACGUAGGGUGCGAGCGUUAAUCGGAAUUAUUGGGCGUAAAGAGUGCGUAGGCGGUUCGUUAUGUCUGCUGUGAAAGCCCCGGGCUUAACCCGGGAAUGGCAGUGGAAACUGGCGGGCUUGAGUGUGGCAGAGGGGGGUGGAAUUCCGCGUGUAGCAGUGAAAUGCGUAGAGAUGCGGAGGAACACCGAUGGCGAAGGCAGCCCCCUGGGCUAACACUGACGCUGAGGCACGAAAGCGUGGGUAGCAAACAGG